RNAcentral lists this non-coding RNA (416 nucleotides) under Pongo abelii (Sumatran orangutan). The record is from RNAcentral. Lineage: Eukaryota; Metazoa; Chordata; Mammalia; Primates; Hominidae.
GUUGCAGUCAACUAGACCCCUCCCUUAUUUCAUACUUCAAGCUAUUAAUCCACUUCUGUAAAUCUUUUUAGUUUUAACUCAAGUAUAGAAGCUUCUAAUUUUUUCUGGGUUAAAUUUUGUCUCGUUAGAUUCACUCCCUCAAUCUUUGAAUCCAGAUUCUAUCAUUCUGUAUAUUAGCUGCAAAUCAUUAAUUUAAAGCAUGCCACUAGUACUAAAUAGGAUGAUAAAGUCAGCAAACUCAGGAAAGAUCUAUAGGUAUCUCAGCAGAGAGUUCUGACUCUAAGUGAAAAAAUUUCUUUUCCUUAUUGCAUGUGAAGCCAGGAGUAUGCCCUGCUGAGCUAGUUCCCUUCCUUUCAUCUCUCAUGUGGCUUCUCAGAUUGCUUGCUUUCUAGUGCUGCUAAUAGAAGACACUAUAG